This is a non-coding RNA of Stegodyphus mimosarum, 73 nucleotides long. Lineage: Eukaryota; Metazoa; Arthropoda; Arachnida; Araneae; Eresidae. The record is from Rfam.
GUCUUCGUGGUGCAGUGGUCAGCACGCUCAGCUCGUAUUCGAUAGGUCUGUGGUUCGAGUCCCGGCGAGGGUA